Molecule: unclassified non-coding RNA, 283 nt
Filed under: uncultured fungus
Lineage: Eukaryota; Fungi
Description: partial contains 5.8S ribosomal RNA, internal transcribed spacer 2, and large subunit ribosomal RNA
Source: RNAcentral
AACGCACAUUGCACCCGGUGGUAUUCCGCCGGGUAUGCCUGUUCGAGCGUCAUUUCAACCCUCAGGCCCCCCUCCUCACGGGGGGAAGGGCCUGGUGUUGGGGAUCUACGGGCCCUUCUGGCGCCCGUAGUCCCCUAAAUCAAUCGGCGUGCGCGCUGUACGUUGCCCCCUGCGUAGUAGUGAUUUCUCGCAUCGGGCCGUAGCGCUGUCCAGCCGCUAAACUGCAACUACGCAUUUAGCUAGGUUUGACCUCGAAUCAGGUAGGGUUACCCGCUGAACUUAA